Molecule: ribosomal RNA, 589 nt
Filed under: Knufia mediterranea
Lineage: Eukaryota; Fungi; Ascomycota; Eurotiomycetes; Chaetothyriales; Trichomeriaceae
Description: eukaryotic LSU rRNA
Rfam family: 5.8S ribosomal RNA (bases 191-345)
Source: RNAcentral
CGCGCGGCCCGAACCUCCCAACCCUGUGUCUACAUUACCUUGUCGUUGCUUCGGCGGACCGGUUGACCAACUGGUCUUGACCGCCGAGGGGGUCACACCCCUCGGAGCGCGUCCGCCGAUGGCCCAACCACAAAACUCUUGCACCAAACAUUGUCGUCUGAAUACUUUAUUGAUUUACAAUCAAAAACAAAACUUUCAACAACGGAUCUCUUGGUUCUGGCAUCGAUGAAGAACGCAGCGAAAUGCGAUAAGUAAUGCGAAUUGCAGAAUUUCCGUGAGUCAUCGAAUCUUUGAACGCACAUUGCGCCCACUGGUAUUCCGGUGGGCAUGCCUGUUCGAGCGUCAUUAUCCUCCCUCAAACCUCGGGUUUGGUGUUGGGCCGUGUUACCACGUCCGUCCCCCGUUCGCGGCGGGGCGUGACCAACUGGCCUCAAAGACAAUGACGGCGUCCGUGGGACCCUCGGUGCAACGAGCUUUUUAGGAGCACGCGUCGAGUUUCAAGGUCCCUCCGGGCCGGUCUAACCCUUUAUUUACUUCUAAGGUUGACCUCGGAUCAGGUAGGAAUACCCGCUGAACUUAAGCCAUAUCC